GGGGAUGUAGCUUAAUGGUAAAGCACUUACCUAGCAUGUGGAAGGCCCUGGGUUCAAUCCUCAGUACCAACA
This 72-nucleotide transfer RNA is filed under the name Heterocephalus glaber (naked mole-rat). It matches the Rfam family "tRNA". From Rfam's summary of the family: Transfer RNA (tRNA) molecules are approximately 80 nucleotides in length. Their secondary structure includes four short double-helical elements and three loops (D, anti-codon, and T loops). Further hydrogen bonds mediate the characteristic L-shaped molecular structure. tRNAs have two regions of fundamental functional importance: the anti-codon, which is responsible for specific mRNA codon recognition, and the 3' end, to which the tRNAs corresponding amino acid is attached (by aminoacyl-tRNA synthetases). tRNAs cope with the degeneracy of the genetic code in two manners: having more than one tRNA (with a specific anti-codon) for a particular amino acid; and 'wobble' base-pairing, i.e. permitting non-standard base-pairing at the 3rd anti-codon position. Lineage: Eukaryota; Metazoa; Chordata; Mammalia; Rodentia; Bathyergidae. The record is from Rfam by way of RNAcentral.